RNAcentral lists this ribosomal RNA (468 nucleotides) under uncultured bacterium. Its description in RNAcentral is "partial 16S ribosomal RNA". It matches the Rfam family "Bacterial small subunit ribosomal RNA", at positions 28 to 507 of the family's 1533-position model. The record is from RNAcentral.
GACGAACGCUGGCGGCGUGCUUAACACAUGCAAGUCGAACGGAAAGGCCCUGCUUUUGUGGGGUGCUCGAGUGGCGAACGGGUGAGUACCACGUGGGUAACCUGCCCUUGACUUUGGGAUAACUUCAGGAAACUGGGGCUAAUACCGGAUAGGAGCUCCUGCUGCAUGGUGGGGGUUGGAAAGUUUCGGCGGUUGGGGAUGGACUCGCGGCUUAUCAGCUUGUUGGUGGGGUAGUGGCUUACCAAGGCUUUGACGGGUAGCCGGCCUGAGAGGGUGACCGGCCACAUUGGGACUGAGAUACGGCCCAGACUCCUACGGGAGGCAGCAGUGGGGAAUAUUGCACAAUGGGCGGAAGCCUGAUGCAGCAACGCCGCGUGCGGGAUGACGGCCUUCGGGUUGUAAACCGCUUUCGCCUGUGACGAAGCGUGAGUGACGGUAAUGGGUAAAGAAGCACCGGCUAACUACGUG